UACGGGGGGGGCAAGCGUUGUUCGGAAUUACUGGGCGUAAAGGGCUCGUAGGCGGCCCACUAAGUCGGACGUGAAAUCCCCAGGCUCAACCUGGGAACUGCGUCCGAUACUGGAUGGCUUGAAUUCGGGAGAGGGAUGCAGAAUUCCAGGUGUAGCGGUGAAAUGCGUAGAUAUCUGGAGGAAUACCGGUGGCGAAGGCGGCAUCCUGGACCGACAUUGACGCUGAGGAGCGAAAGCUAGGGGAGCAAACGGG
RNAcentral lists this ribosomal RNA (253 nucleotides) under uncultured bacterium. Its description in RNAcentral is "partial 16S ribosomal RNA". It matches the Rfam family "Bacterial small subunit ribosomal RNA", at positions 524 to 776 of the family's 1533-position model. The record is from RNAcentral.